CCAAAACCUGUCCUACCGUAU
This 21-nucleotide non-coding RNA is filed under the name Arabidopsis thaliana (thale cress). Lineage: Eukaryota; Viridiplantae; Streptophyta; Magnoliopsida; Brassicales; Brassicaceae. The record is from RNAcentral.